Molecule: small nucleolar RNA, 130 nt
Organism: Rattus norvegicus (Norway rat)
Lineage: Eukaryota; Metazoa; Chordata; Mammalia; Rodentia; Muridae
Product: small nucleolar RNA SNORA48
Source: Ensembl
CCCCCCAGCAAUGGACAAAGAGACACCUUGUUGGUAGUGGCGUUCUUAUAUCAGUCAGGGGCAGAGAAGAUGCCAGUCUCUGUUCUGCCUGACUUGGUGGACAAAGCUGUUUUAUGUCUAGGACUCAUAA